UACGGAGGGGGCUAGCGUUGUUCGGAAUUACUGGGCGUAAAGCGCGCGUAGGCGGACCUGCAAGUCGGGGGUGAAAUCCCGAGGCUCAACCUCGGAACUGCCUUCGAUACUGCGGGUCUCGAGUCCGGGAGAGGUGAGUGGAAUUCCUAGUGUAGAGGUGAAAUUCGUAGAUAUUAGGAAGAACACCAGUGGCGAAGGCGGGUCACUGGCCCGGUACUGACGCUGAGGAGCGAAAGCGUGGGGAGCAAACAGG
RNAcentral lists this ribosomal RNA (253 nucleotides) under uncultured bacterium. Its description in RNAcentral is "partial 16S ribosomal RNA". It matches the Rfam family "Bacterial small subunit ribosomal RNA", at positions 524 to 776 of the family's 1533-position model. The record is from RNAcentral.